UAGGGAAUCUUCGGCAAUGGGGGCAACCCUGACCGAGCAACGCCGCGUGAGUGAAGAAGGUUUUCGGAUCGUAAAGCUCUGUUGUAAGAGAAGAACGUGUGUGAGAGUGGAAAGUUCACACAGUGACGGUAACUUACCAGAAAGGGACGGCUAACUACGUGCCAGCAGCCGCGGUAAUACGUAGGUCCCGAGCGUUGUCCGGAUUUAUUGGGCGUAAAGCGAGCGCAGGCGAUUUAAUAAGUCUGAAGUUAAAGGCAGUGGCUUAACCAUUGUUCGCUUUGGAAACUGUUAAACUUGAGUGCAGAAGGGGAGAGUGGAAUUCCAUGUGUAGCGGUGAAAUGCGUAGAUAUAUGGAGGAACACCGGUGGCGAAAGCGGCUCUCUGGUCUGUAACUGACGCUGAGGCUCGAAAGCGUGGGGAGCAAACAGG
RNAcentral lists this ribosomal RNA (429 nucleotides) under bacterium. RNAcentral describes it as "partial 16S ribosomal RNA". It matches the Rfam family "Bacterial small subunit ribosomal RNA", at positions 355 to 776 of the family's 1533-position model. The record is from RNAcentral.